UACGGGAGGCAGCAGUAGGGAAUAUUGCUCAAUGGGGGAAACCCUGAAGCAGCAACGCCGCGUGGAGGAUGACACUUUUCGGAGCGUAAACUCCUUUUGUUAGGGAAGAACAAUGACGGUGCCUAACGAAUAAGCACCGGCUAACUCCGUGCCAGCAGCCGCGGUAAU
This 168-nucleotide ribosomal RNA is filed under the name uncultured Campylobacter sp. RNAcentral describes it as "partial 16S ribosomal RNA". It matches the Rfam family "Bacterial small subunit ribosomal RNA", at positions 340 to 524 of the family's 1533-position model. Lineage: Bacteria; Pseudomonadati; Campylobacterota; Epsilonproteobacteria; Campylobacterales; Campylobacteraceae. The record is from RNAcentral.